RNAcentral lists this ribosomal RNA (484 nucleotides) under uncultured bacterium. Its description in RNAcentral is "bacterial SSU rRNA". It matches the Rfam family "Bacterial small subunit ribosomal RNA", at positions 28 to 527 of the family's 1533-position model. The record is from RNAcentral.
GAUGAACGCUGGCGGCGUGCCUAACACAUGCAAGUCAAGGAGAAGGUAACCUUCGGGGAACCGGAUACUGGCGCACGGGUGAGUAACACGUGGAUUAUCUACCCUUUACACAGACAUAACUCAGGGAAACUUGAGCUAAUAUCUGAUGAGGCCUCCGGGUCAAAGCUUCGGCGGUAAAGGAUGAGUCUGCGUCUGAUUAGCUAGUUGGUAAGGUAAUGGCUUACCAAGGCGACGAUCAGUAACUGGUCUGAGAGGACGAUCAGUCACACUGGAACUGAGACACGGUCCAGACUCCUACGGGAGGCAGCAGUGAGGAAUUUUGGACAAUGGGGGAAACCCUGAUCCAGCGACGCCGCGUGUGGGAUGAAUGGGUUAUGCCCUGUAAACCACUGUCAGCAGAGAAGAAAAGGUUCCUUUGGAACCCGGGACUGUAUCUGCAGAGGAAGGACCGGCUAACUACGUGCCAGCAGCCGCGGUAAAGUCG